UGGCAGUAUGCGCAAGUUAGGCCCUUUUGUAAUAUGACAAAGGGUUUAUCCUGUCUGCCA
RNAcentral lists this microRNA precursor (60 nucleotides) under Ciona intestinalis (vase tunicate). RNAcentral's name for it is "microRNA cin-mir-4008a precursor". Lineage: Eukaryota; Metazoa; Chordata; Ascidiacea; Phlebobranchia; Cionidae. The record is from miRBase by way of RNAcentral.